This is a long non-coding RNA of Misgurnus anguillicaudatus (oriental weatherfish), 1348 nucleotides long. RefSeq lists it as uncharacterized. NCBI's taxonomy places the organism in Eukaryota, Metazoa, Chordata, Actinopteri, Cypriniformes, Cobitidae. The record is from RefSeq and is a predicted model, not a curated record.
AGGAUCGUUUUCAUUUUAAAAUGCCGUUUUAAAAUGCAAAUGCUCUAAUAUAAACAGGGCCUAAGCUUUUACAAGCUGUUUACACUUGGCAUUAAGAUGUGUUUUCAUCGAUCAGAUAACAAGUAGACGAAGCUAAAGGCAGGUGUAAACAGUGUUCAAAAUGACACAUUCAUUAGUUUCAAAAAGAGACGCAUUUAAAUACCUGAUGUAAACAGAAUGUGUCUCUCUUGUCCACUUGUGAUCCGAUCGACAAAAACACAUCUUAGUGUAAACACCCUCAAAAGUCCUCUGAUCAGCUGCUUCUGUCUAGAACUUAAACUUAGAGGAGUCACCCGGCUUUCUCUGUAGUUGCUCCUAGACUAUGGAAUUUUUACCUUUGCAUGUUUGAGCUGCUCCAACAAUAUCUAGCUUUAAAACUGGGUUACAUACCUUACAAAAAACUGCUAUUAACCCCCAGGGGUCCAAAAACGCGGGGACGCGUUUUGACGUGUUUUCUCCUUAUCAUAGCAGAAUCAACUUAAAAUACUCCAUCAUUAAUAAUCAAACACUUACGUGUUUGACAUCAUUUGAAACUCUGAAGGGUCCUCUUAAAUUAGUGUACAUUCACAAUAACAACAGAUCUUUGUGUUUUUGUCAAAUAAAGAAAAUAAACAGGGUGCUCAUUCAGACAUUUCUGUCUCCGCCAGCUGUCUCUCAAAUCACGUUACAAAAAUUAGUUGAAACUCCGCGAAUACUCGUCACACAAACAUAAUACACAUAUCCAAAGAAAGCCUGAAAUGUCUACUUUUAAACAAGCUAAUUAUUAUCAAAAACAAAUAUUUCCUGUUUAUAUAAUCUGCAUUGAAGUAAAGAGAGUACCGUUUUUCCUGGCUGAGCUCAUUAUCUCUAAUGCGGUCACGCCCACACGCUGUUGACAUGGUAAUGAAGAGACGAGCUGUUCAAACCAGCAAAGCGUAAUGUUUGAUAAGAUUUAAAGACUUUAGCGCAUGUUUGGAUUAUAAACUUUAUACACACACGUGAGGAAUAUCUUCAUUUAUGUCUGGACAUUGAGGAAGAGAAGCGUUUAUCUUUAACGUUACCUAAGAAGAAGAACAAUGGAAGGCGCAAUGGAGGCGGAUAUAUUCCUGAAGAAACUGUCUGCAUCCCUCUCAUCAGUAAACUAUGAAGUGGAAAAACAUAUUCACACUCUUUGGACAUAAAGUUGUAUGGUAACAUGAGCCACAUGAAGUUUACAGCUCUGUUGUUUAUCAGUUUCUUAUACAAGUUAAGUUUUUGAAUAGGGUCCUACUGACCUUCAUUUCUAUUUUGAUUAUAUUGUUAACUUCUUAAUAAACCUCAAACAAACAUG